Molecule: non-coding RNA, 1911 nt
Organism: Thamnophis sirtalis
Lineage: Eukaryota; Metazoa; Chordata; Lepidosauria; Squamata; Natricidae
Source: RefSeq, a predicted model, not a curated record
GGACAGCUCCUCUCGUCGAUCCGAAACGGUCUCGCUAUGACGGCGCACGGCUUAGCGUUGCCGAUGGUUCUCUUCUCCAUCUUCUGGGGGCUCGUGGGUUUUGCGGGUCCGUGGCUGGUGCCGAAGGGGCCCAAUCGCGGAGUGAUUAUUACCAUGCUGGUGACAACUGCUGUUUGUUGUUAUCUUUUUUGGCUUUUAGCAAUUCUUUCUCAAGCCAAUCCACUCUUUGGCCCUCAGCUAAAGAAUGAUACCAUCUGGUAUGUGCUCUUUCAGUGGGAAUGAUCAGGGCUGUUACAGACCAAUUUAAUAGGCUUCACCCAUGCCCUUUCCAGUUGAAAGUGUGAUGGAUCUUUUACAACCCAUUUCCACCGUAGUGACUAUCCCCUGCCUUCCAAUUUUAACUGAUACUUUGGCAUAUAUCAUCUUAAAUGUUUUUAUUAAGGACCCUCCCUUCGUAAUUGCAGUAAAGUAAUUGCAGUAAAGAGAGUAGGUGAAUUGCCGAGAUUUCCAGCUGCUGACCGUAGUCCAGGUAAUUACACAACAAUAUUGUGACUAGCAUUUCUGGAUCUAUUGCUUCCAAAAGGUGCGGAAGACCAUUUGAAUUUGUUCUUGCUAUAUAAAUUAUUGCACGAUGUAGAUUGCACAUGGUCAUCAAUUUCAUUGGGAGAUUCAUCAUCACUGAUGUCAGAAUCUCUGCCAGUGGCUGGUUCCUCAUCGUCCAUUGCAAAUUUUUUGUCACAAUCUGAUUCCACUUCACUCAGAUAGCUCUGUUUCUCCAUACCAUUUUAGAACAAUUUUUUCAAAGUUUGCAGCACCAAAUCGCACUCUUUUUGGUGAAAAACUUUGCCCCGACAUUAUAAAAAAAAUGUUAACAAAGAUCUGUGGUCAAAAUGACCGAAACUCAAAUUCAAAUGGCUCUACAGAAAACACCAAAUAACUGACGCAAGUGCAUACACUGCAUACACUCUUAUUGGUGGGAAAACAAGAACUAUUCACAACUGGAAUGGUCCAUUUCUAAAAAUAGGGGUGUUCCAGACAUUUUGGAAAACUGUUGCGGUCACUAUGGCUGAAGGUCUUUCAUUAUGGGUUAAAAUAAAAAAUCACUUGCCCCUGCUAAGCUCAAAUCUAUCCAGACAGGCAAGGACUUUUUAAAAAAUUGCUAGUCAAUUCAAGCCCCUCUAGACAGCCAGCUAAAUUGGGAUUUGGGGGGGGAGGGUGUUUCUGAUAAAUGCCUAUUCAGUCUCUUCUUAAAAGCCUCCAGUGAUGGGGCAUCCACAACUUCUGGAGUCAAUUUAAAUUUAAAACCUCUUUUAAAAAAAACACUCCCUCUGAUCAGCACAAGCCUCUCCAGGUAGCACCAAAAAAACCAAAAACAAACUCAGCACUGGUUGCAAAAUAACUGCAACUUGUUUGGCCAUGUGACCAGGGAGAAAAAACAAACCUUGCCAGUUUCAGGAAAUUGCAUUUCAUAAUGCAGAACGGCAAUGGGAAGCCAGUUUAAAAUGGCUACUGCUGCAGGAGUGGUUGAAUCCAAGUCACAUAGCUACAGAGGCUUCUUUUUAGAAUAUCUUUCCUGAAUAAAUUUGUUCUUGGGAAAAUUCACUAAAUGCACGGUCGUACCUGGGGGAUUACCUGUACUAGAAACAGAUGAAAUGCCCAAGGAAGGAGCAUCCCCAACGAGCCAUCCUUCAUCAUGCAUGUAAUUCUGACAGAAUCUCCAUGCUCUCUAUGUGCAAAAUUCAAUUCCUUGAAAACCAUAAGUGGGAAAAAGAAGGCAGAAUGUAGCAACCAAUUAUAGCUUCUUUUUCUUCUGGUUUUGAGAGUGUUUUUUUGUUCAAUGGAUCCUACAUUUUAAAACAUUGUCCUCUCUCAGCCACUGGUACAAGAAGCAGCCUCUAUUCAAAACAGAAG